CACACCGCCCGUCGCUACUACCGAUUGAAUGGCUUAGUGAGGCCUUCGGACUGGCCCAAGGAGGUCGGCAACGACCACCUAGGGCCGGAAAGUUCGUCAAACUAAGUCAUUUAGAGGAAGUAAAAGUCGUAACAAGGUUUCCGUAGGUGAACCUGCGGAAGGAUCAUUAAAAGAGAGCGGCCGCCCCUCGCGGGUGGCCACCCCUCUACCCCUUGAAUUCGCACACCGCGUAGCCCCCCCGGAACCCCUCGCGGGGUGAAGGGGGAGCAAAAAACCAUAAAACGUUCUGACCUCGCUCAGUCUGAGCCACUUUUGGCAAAUAAAUCAAAACUUUCAACAACGGAUCUCUUGGCUCUGGCAUCGAUGAAGAACGCAGCGAAAUGCGAUAAGUAAUGUGAAUUGCAGAAUUCCGUGAAUCAUCGAAUCUUUGAACGCACAUUGCGCCCUCCGGUAUUCCGGAGGGCACGCCUGUCCGAGCGUCAUUACAACCCUCAAGCUCUGCUUGGUAUUGGGCGACCGCCCGCCUGCCCUCGGGCGGCGGACGCGCCUCGAAGAACUCGGCGGUCCCAGGACGGCUCCGGGCGUAGCAAAAGCGAAUCGCCUUGGAGUCCGCCCCGGCGGCCUGCCGCACAAAUGACACGCAACUUUUUUGCAAGGUUGACCUCGGAUCAGGCGGGGAUACCCGCUGAACUUAAGCAUAUCAAUAAGCGGAGGAAAAGAAACCAACAGGGAUUGCCUUAGUAACGGCGAGUGAAGCGGCAACAGCUCAAAUUUGAAAUCUGGUCCCCCCGGGGCCCGAGUUGUAAUUUGCAGAGGGUGCUUCGGCGUCGGCUCCGGUCCAAGUUCCUUGGAACAGGACGUCACAGAGGGUGAGAACCCCGUACGUGGCCGGAAGUCUUCGCCGUGUGAAGCCCCUUCGACGAGUCGAGUUGUUUGGGAAUGCAGCUCUAAAUGGGAGGUAAAUUUCUUCUAAAGCUAAAUACCGGCCAGAGACCGAUAGCGCACAAGUAGAGUGAUCGAAAGAUGAAAAGCACUUUGGAAAGAGAGUUAAAAAGCACGUGAAAUUGUUGAAAGGGAAGCAGUUGCAGCCAGACUUGGCCGCGGGCGUUCAUCCGUGCUUCUGCACGGUGUACUCGACCGCGGUCAGGCCAGCAUCAGUUCGGGCGGCCGGAUAAAGGUCCCGGGAAUGUGGCUCCCCUCGGGGAGUGUUAUAGCCCGGGGCGUAAUACGACCAGCCUGGACUGAGGUCCGCGCUUCGGCUAGGAUGCUGGCAUAAUGGCUGUAACUGGCCCGUCUUGAAACACGGACCAAGGAGUCUAACAUCUAUGCGAGUGUUUGGGUGUCAAACCCAUACGCGUAAUGAAAGUGAACGGAGGUGAGAGCCGCAAGGCGCAUCAUCGACCGAUCCUGAUGUCUUCGGAUGGAUUUGAGUAUGAGCAUAGCUGUUGGGACCCGAAAGAUGGUGAACUAUGCCUGAAUAGGGUGAAGCCAGAGGAAACUCUGGUGGAGGCUCGCAGCGGUUCUGACGUGCAAAUCGAUCGUCAAAUUUGGGUAUAGGGGCGAAAGACUAAUCGAACC
This 1578-nucleotide ribosomal RNA is filed under the name Valsaria insitiva. Its description in RNAcentral is "eukaryotic LSU rRNA". The stretch from base 659 to 1578 matches the Rfam family "Eukaryotic large subunit ribosomal RNA", at positions 1 to 941 of the family's 3401-position model. The record is from RNAcentral. Lineage: Eukaryota; Fungi; Ascomycota; Dothideomycetes; Valsariales; Valsariaceae.